Molecule: ribosomal RNA, 123 nt
Filed under: uncultured bacterium
Lineage: Bacteria
Description: partial 16S ribosomal RNA
Rfam family: Bacterial small subunit ribosomal RNA
Source: RNAcentral
CCUUGUACACACCGCCCGUCACACCAUGGGAGUGGGUUGCUCCAGAAGGCGUUAGUCUAACCGCAAGGGGGACGACGCCCACGGAGUGGUCCAUGACUGGGGUGAAGUCGUAACAAGGUACCC